This 492-nucleotide ribosomal RNA is filed under the name uncultured bacterium. RNAcentral describes it as "partial 16S ribosomal RNA". It matches the Rfam family "Bacterial small subunit ribosomal RNA", at positions 29 to 507 of the family's 1533-position model. The record is from RNAcentral.
AGUGAACGCUGGCGGUAGGCCUAACACAUGCAAGUCGAACGGCAGCACAGUAAGAGCUUGCUCUUACGGGUGGCGAGUGGCGGACGGGUGAGGAAUACAUCGGAAUCUACUUUUUCGUGGGGGAUAACGUAGGGAAACUUACGCUAAUACCGCAUACGACCUACGGGUGAAAGCAGGGGAUCUUCGGACCUUGCGCGUUUGAAUGAGCCGAUGUCGGAUUAGCUAGUUGGCGGGGUAAAGGCCCACCAAGGCGACGAUCCGUAGCUGGUCUGAGAGGAUGAUCGGCCACACUGGAACUGAGACACGGUCCAGACUCCUACGGGAGGCAGCAGUGGGGAAUAUUGGGCAAUGGGCGCAAGCCUGAUCCAGCCAUACCGCGUGGGUGAAGAAGGCCUUCGGGUUGUAAAGCCCUUUUGUUGGGAAAGAAAGGCAGCAGGUUAAUACCCCGCUGUUCUGACGGUACCCAAAGAAUAAGCACCGGCUAACUUCGUG